This 72-nucleotide transfer RNA is filed under the name Ictidomys tridecemlineatus (thirteen-lined ground squirrel). Its description in RNAcentral is "Spermophilus tridecemlineatus (thirteen-lined ground squirrel) tRNA". It matches the Rfam family "tRNA". From Rfam's summary of the family: Transfer RNA (tRNA) molecules are approximately 80 nucleotides in length. Their secondary structure includes four short double-helical elements and three loops (D, anti-codon, and T loops). Lineage: Eukaryota; Metazoa; Chordata; Mammalia; Rodentia; Sciuridae. The record is from Rfam by way of RNAcentral.
GGGAGUGUGGCUCAACGGUAGAGCACUUGCUUAGCAUGCAUAAAGUCCUGGGUUUGAUUCCCAGCACCAUUA